Molecule: long non-coding RNA, 1006 nt
Filed under: Sus scrofa (pig)
Lineage: Eukaryota; Metazoa; Chordata; Mammalia; Artiodactyla; Suidae
Description: lncRNA (ENSSSCG00005020396.1)
Source: RNAcentral
UUCGAGUGACCUUAGACCUGCUGGUAGAGCCCAACCCCCAGCAGUUGCUCGGCAGGUUUGCUCGUUUGCGCUCUUCUUGGAGCCGCGGCAACUCAGGGGCUGCCUGCGGGACCGUCAGAAUCUGCCGCCUUCACAGACGCGUCUUCAGCCACAGGGGGCAGUUCUCCACGCUUUUGCUGGAAAACCCCCCCAAGUACAAACUCAGCGCAAACCUCGUGAGCUCCAGAAGCUGACUCAUCUCUCAAACUUUCCUACUUACACUAAUUUUUCCUUCGUUUUCUUUUGAGCAAUACGUAUCUUUCUCUUUUUCUGAGUUUUUAUGAUUUUGUCCUGGGUUUGUUUGUGCUUAUUGUCUAAUUAGGAUUUCGCUACACCGUAGUGUUAGGGUCGUGCUAUUCUCAAACAUCUCUUUUUCAGACGAACUUUUUUUUUUGCCACUUCUGAAUCUGGGAGUUAGUAUUCUUUAAAUAUGAGGUAAUUUUUCUGAAUUUCAUUUGAUGACUACAAUACCAUAUGGAUUAUAUUUCCAAUAAUCAGAGCUAGUUAUUUAUUUUGAGUAACAGCAUUCAUUGAGUUUUGAUGAUAAACAUUUUGAUUAUUAGUAUAAAUACUAUUUUGUACAGUGGGAAUGGGACAUACCGUGUUCAAUUGCUGAUGGGCCUGUCAUCCCAGGAGACUUUAAGCAAUUACAGUGACCUCCGACAACUGCGUGUGCAUUGGCAUGCAAACGUCUCCAAGAGCCAUUGAGCCAAAACACUGCCAGAGGCUCCGUGUGACACCAGCCAAGCCCUGUUACUUGGGGGUCGUGAGUGUGACAUGCACCCACGGGAGAGGCAAGCACCCACCUGAGGACCAAGGGUGGGGCUGGGGGGCUGCCGCAGGCCCUGGCGUUUUCCUCGAUGCUUCCUCAUCCUGGGUGGGCAGCCUCAGAGCCCCCUUUGCAUGCCUUCUGCUGCGAGAGCUGUUGAAUUCAGAGAGAUGUCCCUUCGGAGAACCGCGGGUGUGA